GUCUGUGGCCAUACCAUCCUGAAUACACCUGAUCUCAUCUGAUCUUGGAAGCUAAGCAGGGUUGGGCAUGGUUAGUACUUGGAUGGGAAUAAGUGUUUUCUCUGCUUCAGUAU
Molecule: ribosomal RNA, 113 nt
Filed under: Propithecus coquereli (Coquerel's sifaka)
Lineage: Eukaryota; Metazoa; Chordata; Mammalia; Primates; Indriidae
Source: RNAcentral